AUAUCAAUAAGCGGAGGAAAAGAAACCAACCGGGAUUGCCUUAGUAACGGCGAGUGAAGCGGCAAAAGCUCAAAUUUGAAAUCUGGUACCUUUGGUGCCCGAGUUGUAAUUUGGAGAGGGCAACUUUGGGACCGUUCCUUGUCUAUGUUCCUUGGAACAGGACGUCAUAGAGGGUGAGAAUCCCGUGUGGCGAGGAGUGCGGUUCUAUGUAAAGUGCCUUCGAAGAGUCGAGUUGUUUGGGAAUGCAGCUCUAAGUGGGUGGUAAAUUCCAUCUAAAGCUAAAUAUUGGCGAGAGACCGAUAGCGAACAAGUACAGUGAUGGAAAGAUGAAAAGAACUUUGAAAAGAGAGUGAAAAAGUACGUGAAAUUGUUGAAAGGGAAGGGCAUUUGAUCAGACAUGGUGUUUUGCGCCCUCUGCUCCUUGUGGGUGGGGGAAUCUCGCAGUUCACUGGGCCAGCAUCAGUUUUGGUGGCAGGAUAAAUCCGUAGGAAUGUAACUUGCUUCGGGAAGUAUUAUAGCCUAUGGGAAUACUGCCAGCUGGGACUGAGGACUGCGACGUAAGUCAAGGAUGCUGGCAUAAUGGUUAUAUGCCGCCCGUCUUGAA
RNAcentral lists this ribosomal RNA (604 nucleotides) under Saccharomyces x bayanus. RNAcentral's name for it is "LSU rRNA". It matches the Rfam family "Eukaryotic large subunit ribosomal RNA", at positions 40 to 658 of the family's 3401-position model. The record is from RNAcentral. Lineage: Eukaryota; Fungi; Ascomycota; Saccharomycetes; Saccharomycetales; Saccharomycetaceae.